CCUACGGGAGGCAGCAGUAAGGAAUAUUGGUCAAUGGAGGCAACUCUGAACCAGCCAUGCCGCGUGCAGGAAGACGGCCCUAUGGGUUGUAAACUGCUUUUGAACUAGAGAAAACCUUGGUACGUGUACCGAGUUGAUAGUAUAGUUAGAAUAAGCAUCGGCUAACUUCGUGCCAGCAGCCGCGGUAAGACGAAGGAUGCAAGCGUUAUCCGGAUUCAUUGGGUUUAAAGGGUGCGUAGGCGGACUGAUAAGUCAGUGGUGAAAUCUCUCAGCUUAACUGAGAAACUGCCAUUGAUACUGUUAGUCUAGAGUACAGAUGAUGUGGGCGGAAUAUGACAUGUAGUGGUGAAAUACUUAGAUAUGUCAUAGAACACCGAUUGCGAAGGCAGCUCACAAAACUGUAACUGACGCUGAGGCACGAAAGUGCGGGGAUCAAACAGGAUUAGAUACCCUGGUAGUCCGCACCGUAAACGAUGAUUACUCGUUGUUGGCGAUAUGACAGUCAGCGACCAAGCGAAAGCGANAAGUAAUCCACCCUGGGGAGUACGCCGGCACGGUGAAACUCAAAUGAAUUGACGG
RNAcentral lists this ribosomal RNA (579 nucleotides) under uncultured bacterium. Its description in RNAcentral is "bacterial SSU rRNA". It matches the Rfam family "Bacterial small subunit ribosomal RNA", at positions 338 to 916 of the family's 1533-position model. The record is from RNAcentral.